Molecule: transfer RNA, 83 nt
Filed under: Chloroflexota bacterium
Lineage: Bacteria; Bacillati; Chloroflexota
Also listed under: 2 other names
Description: tRNA-Tyr
Rfam family: tRNA
About the family: Transfer RNA (tRNA) molecules are approximately 80 nucleotides in length. Their secondary structure includes four short double-helical elements and three loops (D, anti-codon, and T loops). Further hydrogen bonds mediate the characteristic L-shaped molecular structure. tRNAs have two regions of fundamental functional importance: the anti-codon, which is responsible for specific mRNA codon recognition, and the 3' end, to which the tRNAs corresponding amino acid is attached (by aminoacyl-tRNA synthetases). tRNAs cope with the degeneracy of the genetic code in two manners: having more than one tRNA (with a specific anti-codon) for a particular amino acid; and 'wobble' base-pairing, i.e. permitting non-standard base-pairing at the 3rd anti-codon position.
Source: RNAcentral
GGGCAGUUACCGAAGCGGCCAAACGGGACUGACUGUAAAUCAGUUGGCUUACGCCUACGGAGGUUCGAAUCCUCCACUGCCCA